UUAUAAAUACACAUCAGCAAUAUAGAACUGAGGGCAGACCUCAGCAUGUUUAAUAAAUAAAGCCUGGUGUCCCUAUGAUGAAUAACAUGACAACUCACAAAUACUGGUCGUGGAUCGGCGUGUUCUCCGUUUCGAUUCUCUUCUGGUGCCAGCUUCUCUGGCUGGCCUUCACCUGAAUCCUGAAACCUCGCUCCGGCGGGGUUUUUUAUU
Molecule: small RNA, 210 nt
Filed under: uncultured Enterobacter sp.
Lineage: Bacteria; Pseudomonadati; Pseudomonadota; Gammaproteobacteria; Enterobacterales; Enterobacteriaceae
Description: Enterobacterial sRNA STnc180
Rfam family: Enterobacterial sRNA STnc180
Source: RNAcentral